GCUUUAAAAGGUAUAAGAAUAUUAUUUCUUCUUCACUAGGAACAUAUUUUCUUAAUUUUGCAGGUUUAAAAAACAGACUUAGAACCAGAGGCUUAGCACCAGCUCCAUUUCAUAGUCAGCAGGAGCUGCUCUGCCUUUCUUCCGGUCAAUAGCUCAACACAGAGGACAUUUUCUUAGCCCAGUUCAAUACCCAGACCUUCCUGAGCUGGUCUGACCCAAUCCCUCCCACUCCUGCAGCCUGGGAGAUAUUUGUUAAUUAGACUCUUCCAGUCAAACCUGCUGCAAGUCUCCCACUUUCCGUGGACUACUGCAGCACAGAUCAGAGCAGGAGCAGGUGCUCUUGGCAAUAUCUCCCUGCUGAGCAGAUGUCUUAUUUCGUUUAUCGCGUAGGCAAAAAAACAAACAAAAACAAAAACAACAACAAAAAAAAAACCACAAAAAAAAAAAACACCUUAAAAGAGAAAAUUUCUCUGUAAAGUAAUUAGUUGGAAAACAGCCCAUGUUUUUUCAGGUUUUAAAAAUAGAUAUAAUGUUCUCAGUUUGCCAGAAAUGAACCCCAAAUUUCUCCUUUUCGUUUCCAGAAUGAAGAGAGAAACAAACCUUUUCUGAUUAUAGAGAUGGACUUGGAAGAUCUGGCUCAGGGCUGGCAUUGGCUGAACACUUUGGGCCACGCUGAUCCUGCCCAGUGGCCACUUCAGUCCAUUUUCUCCCAUUCUUGAAAUUUAUGGUCAUUUUUGCCUUAUUCGUUUGAUAAGAAAUGGAUAUUUGGAAUUCAAACAAAACUUUCUGACUCGGAUAUUCCACAGCGAGGCAAUAUCAGCAUGCACUGACAUCUAUAUUAGCAGCAAGGUGAAGGACUCUGUUUUGGAAGAAAAUCAAAGAGAACAAACAAACAUAACCCCCCCAAGGAAACAAAACUCACUGCUUUUGAAGUUAAAGCAAACACUGCUGUUUGCCAGUGACACACAUGCUUGCUGACCAGCAAACAGCCAGGAGAGAUG
This 1001-nucleotide long non-coding RNA is filed under the name Coturnix japonica (Japanese quail). RNAcentral's name for it is "lncRNA (ENSCJPG00005007137.1)". Lineage: Eukaryota; Metazoa; Chordata; Aves; Galliformes; Phasianidae. The record is from RNAcentral.